ACUCAAAGGAAUAGACGGGGGCCCGCACAAGCAGCGGAGCAUGUGGUUUAAUUGGACGCAACGCCAAGAACCUUACCUGGGCUUGACAUGUUCCUGACCGGCCUGGAAACAGGUCUUCCCUUCGGGGCAGGAUCACAGGUGGUGCAUGGCUGUCGUCAGCUCGUGUCGUGAGAUGUUGGGUUAAGUCCCGCAACGAGCGCAACCCUCGUCGUAUGUUGCCAGCAUUUAGUUGGGGACUCAUACGAGACUGCCGGUGACAAACCGGAGGAAGGCGGGGAUGACGUCAAGUCAUCAUGCCCCUUAUGUCCAGGGCUACACACGUGCUACAUUGGCGCGUACAGAGGGCUGCGAUACCGCGAGGUGGAGCGAAUCCCUCAAAGCGCGUCUCGGUUCGGAUAGUAGGCUGAAACUCGCCUACUUGAAGGUGGAGUUGCUAGUAAUCGCGGAUCAGCAUUGCCGCGGUGAAUACGUUCCCGGGCCUUGUACACACCGCCCGU
This 497-nucleotide ribosomal RNA is filed under the name uncultured bacterium. RNAcentral's name for it is "partial 16S ribosomal RNA". It matches the Rfam family "Bacterial small subunit ribosomal RNA", at positions 899 to 1397 of the family's 1533-position model. The record is from RNAcentral.